This 2371-nucleotide long non-coding RNA is filed under the name Homo sapiens (human). RNAcentral describes it as "HSALNT0259866". Lineage: Eukaryota; Metazoa; Chordata; Mammalia; Primates; Hominidae. The record is from RNAcentral.
GGGCGGGCGGCGCGAGUGGGCGCGGGCCCGGUGGGCCAGGUGAGGCGCGGGCCGGGGGUGGUGGGACUGGGCCGGUUGCGGUAGGGACGGGUGGCGUCCGGGUGUCUGGACUCAGUUCGGGCUCCGUUGUACGGCUUCGGACUUACGAUUUGUUUCUUUGAGCCUCAGUUUCCUCCCCUGUGGAAUGGGGGUUAGAAUCCGACUGUAUCACCGGCUUUAUAAAUGGGAGUGAGAAGUCAGGUCGUGUACGUUGGAUGCCUUAGCUCAGCGCCUCCGCAUAACGCUCACUUCGUUACUAUACUAUUAUUAUUAGUAUUGAUGUUUGAGCGCUUAGUAUGAAAAAUUGUUGGGUUUGGAAGCCGUCGAAUUUUGGUUCAAGUCCCGCUCCACUGUGCGGCAGUGGGGCCUGUGUCUUCGCUUCCUUGAACCCCGUUUUUUCUCAUCUGUACAAUGAGAGCAGAUAGUCCCAAUAUCAUAGGGUCGUCUUGAGGAUUCUGAUGAAAUCUGUGUGUGUAAAGAUUUUAAGCAGAGGGGCUGGCACAGUGAGAGCUCGUGGAUUGGGACUAUAAUGAUAAUGAUUCUGAGAGUCAUUGGUGUAGCUGGGAAUUCCAGGGAAGCUGGGGGAGAAAGCUCAGAGACAGCAAUAGGAAAAACUUAGAAUUGGAGCCGGGGAAAUCGACAUCCUGUCACUUACUAUUUGACCAAUUUUGCUGAGUCCUGAAGUACUAGUUUUUUUCUUUUUCUUGAUAAUGACUAGUGCAUUUUUUUCCCCAGUAAGUUAAUUUGAGAAGGCAAAUUUGCAUUGCUGUCUUCUUCUUUUUUUUUUCUUUGAGACGGAGUUUCGCUCUUGUUGCCCAGGCUGGAGUGCAAUGGUGCAAUUUCGUCUCACCGCAACCUCCGCUUCCUGGGUUCAAGGGAUUCUCCUGCCUCAACCUUCCGAGUAGCUGGGAUUACAGGCAUGCGCCACCACGCCCGGCUAAUUUUUUUUGUAUUUUAGUAGAGACGGGGUUUCUGCAUGUUGGUCAGGCUGGUCUCGAACUUCUGACUUCAGGUGAUCUGCCCGCCUCUGCCUCCCAAAGUGCUGGGAUUACAGGUGUGAGCCACCGUGCCCGGCGCAUUGCUGUCUUCAAUGGAAAACUAGCAUUGCUGGCCAUGAGAGGAAGGAAAAGUUCAGUGACAGGGUCUCGCUAUAUUGCCCAGGCUGGCCUCAAAAUCCUGGGCUCCAGAGAUCCUCCUGCUUCGGCCUCCCAAAGUGCUGGGACUACAGGUGUGAGUUACUGUACCCGGCCUUACCAUUCUUAUUGUGCAGUUGAGGGAAGUGAGGUCAGAAAGGUUAAGCUACUUGUCCAGAGUCAGGAUUAGGACGUGGUAAAAUUGGGAUUUGGAUACAGGUCUUCUAAGGGCUUAGCACAUGGAGUCUGGUAUGUGGUAAUCCCUUGAGUUUUGGGAGCUGCUGUCUUUAAAAUCACUAUUAUAAUUUUCACUAUUCGGAAAGUCAGUGCUGGAGAUGGGCUUUUAAGAUUGUGGAGAGAGGAAAUUGAAUUCAGUAGGGUCUGUAGCACUUGGGGGAGAAUACCAGUACUUAAAGGAUUCUGGUUAGCAUUAACUGAGACAUUGAAAAACAGACCAUAGUACCUGGCUGGUAGUAAUCCCUCAAUCAGCAUGAACCAUAGCCAUUGGACUGCGUGGGGUCCAAGUCCUGCUGCUUCCUUUACUUGCUAUAUGAUCUUGAACUCCUAGGCUCAAGGGAUCCUCCUGACCCUAAAGUGCUGGGAUGACAGGCCUGAGCCACUGUGCCCAGCCUUUUGCUGUGUGAUCUUGGACCUGCCAUUCUCAUCUGUAACUUUCCGAGGGUGGUUGUGAGGAGCGACUGAGAUGUGUAUAUGCUCAGUUCCUGGUACAUAGUAAGCACUCAAUGGGACCUAUUCCCUGGACGUCAGAAUCAGGAAGAACUUGUUUUUGAAUCCCAGUAAGGUCAGUUGCUAGAUGUGCCAUUUGACAAACGACUGCACCUCAAUGAGUCGGGGUUUUUCAUCGAUAAAAACAGGGCUAAUAAUAGUCCUCACUUGCUGAGCUGUUGGGAUGCAUCUGCAUGAUGCUUGGCGCUGGUCCUGAUGCAUAGUUAGUGCUUGGUUUGUGAGAUGUUCUGUCUGACUUACUGAGACCUCUCCGUGCUGUUCUUUGAGAGAUGCAUGUUGUACUGUAUUUUAUUUCAUUAUUAUUUUUUGAGACAGAGUCUUGCUCUGUCACUCAGGCUAGAGUGCAGUGGUGUGAUCUCGGCCCACUGCAGCCUCUGCCUCCCGGGUUCAAGCGAUUCUCCUGCCUCAGCCUGCCGAGUAGCUGGGAUUACAGGCGCCCACCACCAUGCCCG